CUUCCGCAGUGUACACUUGCUGAAGCCUUAGCGGGUCCAAAAGACCGGUACAAUCGCGACUAAAAAUAAUGGAGACCAGCCUGUUCAAACAGGCGCGCUAGUCGUGGGCAGAAAUGCCUGCGGCGACACUAUCGAAUUGACGGGGACACCCUAAAGACGAUGAUACCAACCCUGCGGCGAAAGUCAAUGGGGGCCCAAGCUAACAACUUGGGGUACGGUAAUAAAUCAUCGUAUGAGCCUUAUACGCCGAAGUGGAAGCGUAUGUGGUGAAAUGGGCAAUCCGCAGCCAACGCCUAAGGUCUUGAUUGACUAUGGUAGGGGUUCACAGACUAAGUGGUAGUGGGUGUAGCUGUCUGACAGCUAUGCUUAAGAUAUAGUCGGGCCCCUGGGGAAACCCAGGGGGUAAGUACACUGCAACCAGUUGCAAACGGCCUCGGUCGACGGUCUGGCUCUCGUCAUGCGAGCCUUACCCGAAGCCUUGGUUAUACAGAAACCGUUCCGUAGGUGAACCUGCGGAAGGAUCAUUAAAGAGUAAGGGUCUCUGGCCCGAACCUCCAACCCUCUGUUGUUAUAACUACUUCGUUGCUUUGGCGGGACCGCAAAGGUUCUCCCGAGCGCGCCGGUCUCCGGACAGGCGAGCGCCCGCCAGAGUCUAACCAAACUCUUGUUUUAAACCAGUCGUCUGAGUAUAAAAUUUUAAUUAAAUUAAAACUUUCAACAACGGAUCUCUUGGUUCUCGCAUCGAUGAAGAACGCAGCGAAAUGCGAUAAGUAAUGUGAAUUGCAGAAUUCAGUGAAUCAUCGAAUCUUUGAACGCACAUUGCGCCCCUUGGUAUUCCGAGGGGCAUGCCUGUUCGAGCGUCAUUACACCACUCAAGCACUGCUUGGUAUUGGGCAUCGUCCGUCGUAAAGGCGGGCGUGCCUCGAAGACCUCGGCGGGGUUUCUCCAACUUCGGGCGUAGUAGAGUUAAAUCAAAACGUCUUAUAAGCUUGGUGAGAUCUCAUUGCCGUUAAACCUUUUAUAU
This 1024-nucleotide unclassified non-coding RNA is filed under the name Dothiora prunorum. RNAcentral's name for it is "sequence contains 18S rRNA gene, ITS1, 5.8S rRNA gene, ITS2, 28S rRNA gene". The stretch from base 710 to 863 matches the Rfam family "5.8S ribosomal RNA". Lineage: Eukaryota; Fungi; Ascomycota; Dothideomycetes; Dothideales; Dothioraceae. The record is from RNAcentral.